GGGAAUGGUCAUGAUGUCUAUGUG
Molecule: non-coding RNA, 24 nt
Filed under: Arabidopsis thaliana (thale cress)
Lineage: Eukaryota; Viridiplantae; Streptophyta; Magnoliopsida; Brassicales; Brassicaceae
Source: RNAcentral